This 490-nucleotide ribosomal RNA is filed under the name uncultured bacterium. RNAcentral describes it as "bacterial SSU rRNA". It matches the Rfam family "Bacterial small subunit ribosomal RNA", at positions 28 to 524 of the family's 1533-position model. The record is from RNAcentral.
GACGAACGCUGGCGGCGUGCUUAACACAUGCAAGUCGAGCGAUCGGCCUUCUGGGGGUAACCCCGGGAGGUACGGAGCGGCGAACGGGUGAGUAACACGUGGGCAACCUGCCCCAGACUCUGGGAUAACUCCGGGAAACCGGGGCUAAUACCGGAUACUUUCGACUUCCCGCAUGAGGAGUCGAGGAAAGCUCCGGCGGUCUGGGAUGGGCCCGCGGCCUAUCAGCUUGUUGGUGGGGUAACGGCCUACCAAGGCGCGACGGGUAGCUGGCGUGAGAGCGCGACCAGCCACACUGGGACUGAGACACGGCCCAGACUCCUACGGGAGGCAGCAGUGGGGAAUCUUGCGCAAUGGGCGAAAGCCUGACGCAGCGACGCCGCGUGGGGAUGAAGGCCCUCGGGUUGUAAACCCCUUUCGGCAGGGACGAAGCGAAAGUGAUGGUACCUGCAGAAGAAGCCCCGGCUAACUACGUGCCAGCCGCCGCCGUAAC